CAAGGAGUGGGCAGAGCACGCUCAACUAUAAGAAUACCAAGCACGAAGUCAUCAUGCCUCCAUGUCUACUCGUGGAGACCAAGCUAAAGGUCCCCACCUGCCACCACCAAGAAAGCAGAACCUGUUGUUUUGUCCAAAAUCAAAACUGCACUUCCACAAAGGAGAGGUUUCAAAGAUUAUGCAAGAAUGUCAAGAAGAAAGUUUCCGGAAGAGAGGUUUGCCUUUUUCUCUUGUAAGCCUGCUUGUCACCCAGGACUAGUCCACCAAGGUUAUUUAGCAGCUAAUCCAAGAUUUGGAUCGUUGCCUAAAGUUGCACUUGCUGGUAUCUUGGGAUUUGGCCUUGGAAAGAUAUCAUACAUAAGAGUGUGCCAGAGUAAAUUCCAUUUCUUUGGAGAUCAGCUCCAUGGAGCUGGUUUGGGUCCAGAGCAUAACAGGGGCUGCCUGCUUACCUGUGAGGAAUGCAAAAUAAAGCAUGGAUUAAGUGAGAAAGGAGGUUCACAGCCUUCGGCUUCCUUAACUCUGUGUCUGUGGCUUUUGAAGUUUUUAAACCUCUGAAUUUGUAUAAGUUUAAAAUUUCAAGCGUACUUUAAAAUACUUAUAGUGGAA
RNA transcript from Propithecus coquereli (Coquerel's sifaka), 606 nucleotides. It is a transcript of the gene named OCIA domain-containing protein 2 pseudogene, with no coding region annotated. The record is from RefSeq and is a predicted model, not a curated record. The transcript has a single exon. NCBI's taxonomy places the organism in Eukaryota, Metazoa, Chordata, Mammalia, Primates, Indriidae.